Molecule: ribosomal RNA, 469 nt
Filed under: uncultured bacterium
Lineage: Bacteria
Description: partial 16S ribosomal RNA
Rfam family: Bacterial small subunit ribosomal RNA
Source: RNAcentral
GACGAACGCUGGCGGCGUGCUUAACACAUGCAAGUCGAACGAGAUCCAUGGUGUAGCAAUACACCGGAAGAUCUAGUGGCGAACGGGUGAGGAUCACGUGAGAAACCUGCCCCAGACUUUGGGAUAACAAGUGGAAACGCUUGCUAAUACCGAAUGACGUCGGAGAACCGCAUGGUUCACUGACGAAAGGAAUUCCGGUUUGGGAGGGUCUCGCGGCCUAUCAGCUUGUUGGUGGGGUAAUGGCCUACCAAGGCAACGACGGGUAGCUGGUCUGAGAGGAUGAUCAGCCACACUGGGACUGAGACACGGCCCAGACUCCUACGGGAGGCAGCAGUGGGGAAUCUUGCGCAAUGGGCGAAAGCCUGACGCAGCAACGCCGCGUGCGGGAUGAAGGCCUUCGGGCUGUAAACCGCUUUCAGCAGGAACGAAAAUGACGGUACCUGCAGAAGAAGGAGCGGCCAACUACGUG